UCUCAAACUCCUGACCUCAUGUGAUCCCUCCGCCUCAGCCUCCCAAAGUGCUGGGAUUAUAGGCAUGAGUCAUCGCACCCAACACUGUCUUUAUUUAAUAUUACUAUUUUUUUUGUGAUGACACUUAACAUAAGAUCUACCCUCAUAAAAAAAAUUUUAGUAUACAAUACAGUAUUGUUAACUAUAAACACUGUGCUAUAGAGUCGAUGUCUAGGUCUCAGGCAUCUUGCAUAGCUGAAACUUUGUGCCCCUUGACAUUCUCCCCAACCCCUGACAACCACCAUUUCCUGCUCUGCUUCUGUAAGUUUGACUAUUUUCGAUUCCUCACAUAAGUGGCAUCAGUUAUUAUUUGUUUUCUGGCUCUCAAUUAUUUCACUUGAUGAAUGUACUCCAGGUUCAUUCAUGUUACUGAAAACGGCAGAAUUCCUCUCCUGUCCCCUGCCCUCACCAUUGAGGACCUAAAGGAUAAUGAAAGGGGGGAAUCUGUGCCCUAAAUAAUCCCUUUUGGCAGUUACUUUCUGUUUUCAAAGUUCAGCUCUCCCUCUCCCUCUCCCUCUCCCUCUCCCUCUCCCUCUCUCUCUCCCUCUCUCUCCACGGUCUCCCUCUCCCUCUCCCUCUCUCUCCACGGUCUCCCUCUCCCUCUCGCUCUCUCUCCACGGUCUCCCUCUCCCUCUCCCUCUCUCUCCACGGUCUCCCUCUCCCUCUCCCUCUCUCUCCACGGUCUCCUUCUGUUGCCGAGCCAAGGCUGGACUGUACUGCCGCCAUCUCCGCUCACUGCAACCUCCCUGCCUGAUUCUCCUGCCUCAGCCUGCCUGGGAUUGCAGGCGCGCGCCGCCAUGCCUGACUGGUUUUUGCUGGAGUGCAGUGGCGUGAUCUCGGCUCGCUACAACCUCCACCUCCCAGCCGCCUGCCUUGGCCUCCCAAAGUGCUGAGAUUGCAGCUUCUGCCCGGCUGCCACCCCAUCUGGGAAGUGAGGAGCGUCUCUGCCUGGCCGCCUAUCGUCUGGGAAGUGAGGAGCGCCUCUUCCCGGCCGCCAUCCCGUCUGGGAAGUGACCAGCGUCUCUGCCCGGCCGCCCAUCGUCUGAGAUGUGGGGAGCGCCUCUGCCCCGCCGCCCCGUCUGGGAUGUGAGGAGCGCCUCUGCCCGGUCGCGACCCCGUCUGGGAACUGAGGAGUGUCUCUGCCCGACCGUCACCCCGUCUGGGAGAAAUUCGACAGGGAAGAAAAGCAAGUCACCAGGGACUGUAUCCUUGAUUAGUGGCUGCGAUCCUGCAACACACUUCAUCCUGCCCAAUCCCCAUCGAUGUUGGCAUUUUCCUACUCAAUUGAUGUCCUCAUAUUUUCCCUGCUCCAUCUACACACCAUAUAUUUCCUCAGGUGCUACAAACAAGUUCCAAACUUUAUUGGACAGGGGAAGAAGUAGAAGAAACAAGAAGUAUUAUUAAAAUGAAUGGAGUUAAAAUGGGACAGAGAUUCCUCCUGGAUGAAACAGAAGCCGGGCUGCUGAUGCAGCUGGAGGAGGAAGCGAGAGGUUCCAACGGCAUGACUCCUUGGCAUUUCACACAUCCAUAGAAAUAACCCAUCUAUGAUUUCCACAAGACAAUUUUUUCUUAGUCCCCACUUUUCAGUGUAUGCUCAAACACAAUGCAGAAUCCCAAGAAACUGUGAAACUUUUCUGAGAAAAUGUUCUGAUUUGAAUUAGUUAGCUGUAUUCUGCAUUCAGCACAUUUACAAGCUUUGAAAUAUCGGACAUUGGCAAGCAAGCACUAACAUUUUAUAAGUAGCAGUUUGCAUCCAGGUUUGAGGUAAUGUAAUCCAACAUGCACGAGAACACAGUCUAGGUCCCCUUCUCCCUUCUAAGCAUAGCAGAAGGAUUAGGAAUAAUGAAUGGUGUGAAUUUUGCCACCUAGAGGGUUUCAUUUUGAUACCUGUUACACAGUCCUCUUGAGCACUGUGCUCAUUUUUCCUAUUGCUGAGAUAUGGAAAAUAAAACAGUAAUAGGAACGUGCACUGACAACACACCAUGUCAAUGCCCUAAAACGCAAAGUCUUGGAGAGGGUUCCAUAAUGGCUUCAGUAGAAGCAUAGCUCAUUCCCUGCUUUGCUAAUCAAUUUUCUGCAUGCCAUGUUCUCCCCGUUAUACCUCAUCCCUUAGGCUACUCUUGUAGCCCAAGUCAACCACACAGGUGAUAUACACCGGUGGAAUAGGUCAGGGCAAUUUCUUGAGGCACUGGAGGGGGAAAACCUGGGGUCUCUCCUCAGCCCUCCAAUGUGUCCAUAAUGCUCCUCAUGUGCCACAGGCUCCGUGCCACCAUGGAAUUUGAUCUGGAAGUCUAGAGCCCUUUUCAGGGAGUUGUUUAAGCCUUUAGUCCUUGUUUCUUCACUCUUAGUGUAAUUCUGUGUCAUUUUAGAGCCAGAAACACUGUUGUAACAGUCAAAUGUAGUAAUUAAGACUGUAGUAUCAGAUCACUGGCUUUUCAAUCUUUUUCUAAAAGGCUCUAUGAUCUCAGGCAAAUUUACUGAACUCUUCUUGCUGUAAUAUGGGGAGACAGUGGCCCUCACUUCAUAGAUUGUAGUGAGAUUAAAUAAGUUAAUAUAUGUAAAGCUUUAAUAAAGUACUUAGCAAAUAGUAUAUACAGUACUAUGCAAGUUUUAGCUAUAAAAUGACAAUAACAUUUCACAUAAAAAGGUUACUAUUAAUUGUUACUACCAUUUCCUAAUUAUUGAUUUAUGUAAUAAGCUAUGCCCCAAACCUACCAGGUUUAACUCUUGGUAUUCAGUGUGAACUGAAUUAUAUUCCCCUCAAAUUCAUUUAUUGAAACACUAAUGUGCUGGCAUUAGAAGGCAAGGCAUUUGGGAGGUAAUUAGGUCAUGAAGGUAGAAUCCUCAUGAUGGGAUUAAUGCCCUUAUUAGAACAGACUGAAGAGAAAUUUUACUCUGCCAUGAGAGACACAUAAAAAAAAAAAAAAAAGAUGAAGUCUACAAGCCAGGAAGCAAGCUCCCACCAAGAACUGAAUCAGCCAGCACCUUGUUCUUGAAUUUCCCAGCCUCCAGAACUGUGAGAAAUAAAUAUUAGUAGUUCAAGUCACCCAGACGGUGAUAUUUUUUGAUAUUUUGUGACAGCAGCCCAUACAAACCAAGGCUAUCUUCAAGCAAACAAUUUAGAAGUUCACAAUUUUUUUUCUGUCAAAUAUGUGGUGUUCGCAAAUUGAAAGCAUCUUGGAUUUCAGACUUGGGUGAAAUGUCCCACCAGACGGUGUGAUAUUUAGUAGCCCAGAAAGCUGCCAAGGGGUUGAAUGACACUAUCUGAAGAUAUGAACCAGUUUGCUCUCCAUAGGGAGGAUUUCAUCAACAGGAAACAGAUGCCUGGAAGGCAUUGGAUUUGCUAAGUGUCUAUGCCAUAUGAUUCUGCUGUUUGCGUUUGAUUUAGAAUGCUGAGCUGACUCAAAGUCAAACUGUAAGUACGGCCUUCAAUAAAGAGUGCAUGUUAUAUGUAGGUUGCAGAUUACAUUGUGAAAAUGCCCAUUUAAAAAAGUGAUGUUACUAAAGGCAUGGCAAUGAUGAUAAGCCUCGUGGUAUUGUGAUAAAGAGAAACUCGAUAUGGUUGCUGUUACCAGUUGUAGACGGAUCUGCCUAGAAGAGGCCAUCGGCCAUGUAUUGGUGAUUUAUUGCUGUUCAUAUCACAUUGCAAGCUCUAAAAAUUUGCUGUGUCACUGCUAGAAACGUAUUACAAUCAAAAUAAUUUCUAGCAAACUAUUGAAAAUGGUUUAUUUCCCAGGGAUUUUUGCUAAAGAUGUCAUUUGAAUCACCAGCCUCCCAAUUCUACUUAUAGAAUCUUCCAUUUUGUAACUCUGUUGGCACCCUCGUAUUAGUUCCUAUGGUCAAUUUCUC
This 3888-nucleotide long non-coding RNA is filed under the name Homo sapiens (human). RNAcentral describes it as "HSALNT0158751". The record is from RNAcentral. Lineage: Eukaryota; Metazoa; Chordata; Mammalia; Primates; Hominidae.